This 588-nucleotide ribosomal RNA is filed under the name Moelleriella libera. RNAcentral's name for it is "SSU rRNA". It matches the Rfam family "Bacterial small subunit ribosomal RNA", at positions 233 to 832 of the family's 1533-position model. The record is from RNAcentral. Lineage: Eukaryota; Fungi; Ascomycota; Sordariomycetes; Hypocreales; Clavicipitaceae.
UCUUCGGGAUAGGUAGUAGUUAAGGUGAUGGCUUAACUAGCUUAAAAUUCUCGUAGUCGAAGCUGAAAGGUUGAUCGACCACAUUGGGUCUGAAAAAACCCCAAUGCAAGUUAGUACAGCAGUGAGGAAUCUUGGUCAAUGGCCUAACGGCUGAACUGGCAACUUGGAGAAGUGGCAAGUCUUAUUUUUGAUUAUAAUUUUAGAUAAUCUAUAAGAUUGUAUUAAAAUUGAAUAAAGCUUUGUUUAUAUAUUGAUAAUGACAAUAUAUAUAUCGUGUCUUGACUAAUUACGUGCCAGCAGUCGCGGUAAUACGUAAGAGACUAGUGUUAUUCAUCUUAAUUAGGUUUAAAGGGUACCUAGACGGUCAAUAUAGCUUCUAGAAUGUUAGUACUUGACUAGAGUUUGAUGUAAGGGGGCAGUACUUGAGGAGGAGAGAUGAAAUUCUAUUAUACCAAAGGGACUCGGUAAAGGCGAAGGCAGCCCUUUAUGUAAAAACUGACGUUGAAGGACGAAGGCACAGAGCACAAACAGGAUUAGAUACCCAAGUAGUCUUUGCAGUAAAUGAUGAAUGCCAUAGGUUUAGAUUAA